GGGGAAUAUUGCGCAAUGGGGGCAACCCUGACGCAGCCAUGCCGCGUGAAUGAAGAAGGCCUUCGGGUUGUAAAGUUCUCUCGGUAGCGAGGAAGGCACUUAGUUUAAUAAACUAGGUGAUUGACGUUAACUACAGAAGAAGCACCGGCUAACUCCGUGCCAGCAGCCGCGGUAAUACGGAGGGUGCGAGCGUUAAUCGGAAUAACUGGGCGUAAAGGGCACGCAGGCGGUGACUUAAGUGAGGUGUGAAAGCCCCGGGCUUAACCUGGGAAUUGCAUUUCAUACUGGGUCGCUAGAGUACUUUAGGGAGGGGUAGAAUUCCACGUGUAGCGGUGAAAUGCGUAGAGAUGUGGAGGAAUACCGAAGGCGAAGGCAGCCCCUUGGGAAUGUACUGACGCUCAUGUGCGAAAGCGUGGGGAGCAAACAGGAUUAGAUACCCUGGUAGUCCACGCUGUAAACGAUGUCGAUUUGGGGGUUGAGCUUUAAGUUUGGCGCCCGUAGCUAACGUGAUAAAUCGACCGCCUGGGGAGUACGGCCGCAAGGUUA
Molecule: ribosomal RNA, 546 nt
Filed under: uncultured bacterium
Lineage: Bacteria
Description: bacterial SSU rRNA
Rfam family: Bacterial small subunit ribosomal RNA
Source: RNAcentral